GAGGCAGUCCCAUCCCCCCUCCCGUCUCAGUGGAUCAUGCCCAGGGCAGCAGCACUGCAGUUGGGUUGGGGGGGCAGUACUGGCACAGGAGAGUUGCUGUUUCCAGUCACAACACAGGGAUCACAGCAAACACAGCCGCCACAGAAGCACUAUGGCAUCACUUCUAUCAGCUUAGCAGCUCCCAAGGAGAUAGACUGUAUACUCAUGCAGAAACUAAUUGAGACUCUGAAGCCCUUUGGGGUUUUUGAAGAGGAAGAGGAACUGCAGCACAGGAAUUUAAUUCUGGGAAAACUAAAUAACCUGGUAAAAGACUGGAUACAAGAAAUCAGUGAAAGCAAGAAUCUUCCACAAUCUGUAAUUGAAAAUGUUGGAGGAAAAAUUUUUACAUUUGGAUCUUACAGAUUAGGAGUGCAUACAAAAGGUGCAACAAUAUUGAUGUCUUGUGUGUUGCACCAAGAUGUGUUGACCGAAGUGACUUUUUCACCUCAUUCUGUGAUAAGUUGAAAUUACAGGAAGAAGUAAAAGAUUUAAGAGCUGUUGAAGAGGCAUUUGUACCAGUUAUCAAGUUCUCUUUCGAUGGGAUAGAGAUUGAUAUUUUAUUUGCAAGAUUAGCACUGCAGACUAUUCCAGAAGAUUUGAAUCUGUGAGAUGACAGUCUGCUUAAAAACUUAGAUAUAAGAUGUAUAAGGAGUCUUAGCAGUUGCAGGAUAACCGAUGAAAUUUUGCAUCUAGUACCAAACAUUGACAACUUCAGCUGAACUCUCAGAACUAUCAAACUAUGGGCCAGACACCACAACAUCUAUUCCAAUGUAUUAGGUUUCCUUGGUGGUAUUUCCUUAUCCAAAUGCAAUAGCAUCAACUCUUGUACAUACAUUUUUCUUGGUAUUUUCUAAAUGGAAUGUGUUUAGAUUAUAUUGAAGUAAAAUCGAUUA
Molecule: RNA transcript, 932 nt
Organism: Carlito syrichta (Philippine tarsier)
Lineage: Eukaryota; Metazoa; Chordata; Mammalia; Primates; Tarsiidae
Gene name: poly(A) polymerase alpha pseudogene
Exons: 1
Source: RefSeq, a predicted model, not a curated record